CCCGGGUGAGUUGAGGCAGUUUAGGUGAAAGAUUCCUACUUAAUACCGGGCGAGCAGAAAUUACACCAACAGUUUCGCUUCUGCAUGCAGCAGACGUGUCCCUUCCAGAAACGGACACCCAUACAACUUCCUCAAGGUGCACUCAAGGGUGCACUUCCCGUACUACGAGCUGUAUCUGACCGAGACGGGCAAAAUCCUCGGAUCAAUUCUCUCGCUGUUGCUGUUCUUUAGAUGCGUCCGGAGCGGUUCUUCCAGCAGAUCUGCGACGGAUUCGACAAACGGCAGCAAUAUGCUGUCAGGGAUUCUCGCAAAUCGAUGCUAGAGGGCGCUUACCUCCGGAAAGAAAUCGACCAGAUAAUGAUCCGGCGGCCCUUUAAGGAUAUUAUGUCGCAGACCAUGCUGUCUCCGGACACGCUAGCCUUCCAGCAGCCCUCGGUGUAAGGCGGGCACCCGCCUGAGUACCCUCGCGGCUCAUAUCCUCGAUCAGCGGCGGACACAGGGACAUGGUGGAUGGAAGUCCCGUUCGGUUGGGCCAACAUCGCCGAAAAUUUCCCCUCCCACCUCGGAAACGAUCAAUCGAAGUGAUGAAGGAGCUCAAGGCGCAGCAAGAAGCCAAUUGCUAUGAGAAGGGACUUACCAGAGGGGCAACUCAGGAUAAGAACGAGAAGUUCUGUCUUCCACUCCAAAUGCAAACUGCGGAAAAAAUUCUCCAGCAGAGGGCGCCUACCCUCGGAAGGGAAUCGACCGAAUGAUAAACCGGCGAGCCACUGAGGGCGCUACGCCGCAGAUCGUGCUGCCUCCGGACUCGCCACCGUCCCAGCAGCUCUCGGUGCAACGAGAAUCCACCCACCAGAGCUUACCCUCGCGUCUCACAUCCUCGAUCAACGGUGGGGACAUGGUGGAUAGGAGUCCGCUCCGGUUGGGCCGAAAACCGCCGAAACUUUCUCCUCCCAUACAUCAAACGACGAGUGAACCAAGUAGCUGAAGGAGCUCAAGGUGCAGCUGAAAACUGAGCGCCCCUUAAUGGUGCAACAGCUGCAGAACAAGAACGAGAUGUUCGUAGAAGAACCUACGCAGUACCAAGUACCUAUGUGAAGCAAAUUCGCGAAUUGUGGACGAAACUGCAAGCGCGUAAUCUGGAGCACGAGUCACCCAACAGGAAGCGCGGUUCGGACCACAAGGAGGCGGUGACCGAGGACAAUCGAAAUUUGACCAAGAUGGUGGUUUGACGUCGGUUCGCAGGAACAGGAAUUGGACGAUUCAAGAGAUGCUGUUGUAAUGCAAAGAAUAAAUCACCGGACAGCGUGCUGAUACCAACUGAAUCCUGCCUGCAGUGUAACAUUCAUUUGUUGGAUGCUACGAGUUUAUGUGAAGUUGCUAUUCCAGCUAAUUAUUUUUUGUCUACAAGGAGCUCCUCUUGAGGAUUGAUUCAGAAUUUUCCUCCACAUACUUCUAGGAAUCUCAAAUGGAGUUUCUUGUGGAAAUUCUUGGAUUCAUUUUGGAAUUUAAAUAAGAAUUUCCACUGAAGUUUAAGGAUCUGUCUAGGGAUUCCUUAUACUGUUCUUCGGAUUUAUCUAAAAUGUUCUGGAUUUCUUUUCCAAGUUUCACAAUAUUUCAUCAGGUAUGUAAUACAUAUCUGGAUUCCUCCUAAAUUACAUCUUGAAAAUUUUUCAAAGAGAUCUUUCUGAAAAUCCUGCAGGAGAUUCUAAAGAAUCCUUCAUGAAUUCAUCCUGGAAUUCAAUCUGAAUUAUUUCAGGAAUUUCGUGUGAUAAUUCUUCAAAUAACUCUAUCUGAGUAUUCCUUUAGUAAUUCCAUCUUCCAGAAACUCUUAAUGGGGUAUGCUCAAUGAAUUCCAUCUGGCGAUUCUUCCAGGAAUCACAUCUAGGAAUUCAUCCAGUAAUUCGAUCUGGACAUUUUUCCAGAAAUUCUAUCUGGCGGUUCCUACAGAAAUUGCACCUGGGGAUUGCACUAACAAUUCGAUAUUGUUUCUUUCUAGUGAUUUCUCAAGGGUUUUUUUUUUUUCUAUCCAGGUAUCCCAUCUGGGGAUUCCUCGAAAUAUAUGAAAUAAUUCUCCUAAAUCUCCUUGUAUAUAGGGAUUUUCAGGAAUUAUUCUAAUAUUUUCCAGGAUGCAAUUGACUUCCAUAAAUGAUUAAGAAUUAAGAAUCCCAGAUGACUGGGAAUUUCUGAGAAUCCUUAUGAAUUUUCAGGAAUCAUUUAAAUAUUUUCCGGGAAGCUACUGAAUUAAUUAAAUGGUUGAGAAUAUUUUCUGAAAUUCGUAGAAUACAUUCCAGAUGACUGAGAAUUUCUGAGAAUCCUUGGGAAUUUUCAGGAAUUAUUUAAAUAUUUUCCGGGAAGCUACUAAAUUCCAUAAAUGAUUAGGAAUAUUUUCUAAAAUUCGUAGAAUACAUUCCAGAUGAUUGGGAAUUUCUAAGAAUUCUUAGGGAUUUUCAGGAAUUAUUUAAAUAUUUUCCGGGAAGCUACUGAAUUCCAUAAAUGGUUGAGAAUAUUUUCUGAAAUUCGUAGAAUACAUUCCGGAUGACUGGGAAUUUCUGAGAAUCCUUAGGGAUUUUCAGGAAUUAUUCAAAUAUUUUCCGGGAUGCAAUUGACUUCCAUAAAUGAUUAAGAAUAUUUUCUAAAAUUCGUAGAAUACAUUCCAGAUAACUGGGAAUUUCUGAGAAUCCUUAGGAAUUUUCAUGAAUUAUUUAAAUAUUUUCCGGGAAGCUACUGAAUUCCAUAAAUGAUU
Long non-coding RNA from Aedes albopictus (Asian tiger mosquito), 2743 nucleotides. RefSeq lists it as uncharacterized. The record is from RefSeq and is a predicted model, not a curated record. The transcript has 5 exons. NCBI's taxonomy places the organism in Eukaryota, Metazoa, Arthropoda, Insecta, Diptera, Culicidae.